This 517-nucleotide long non-coding RNA is filed under the name Rattus norvegicus (Norway rat). Its description in RNAcentral is "long non-coding RNA NONRATT004714". The record is from RNAcentral. Lineage: Eukaryota; Metazoa; Chordata; Mammalia; Rodentia; Muridae.
AGGCUCGGGCGAGUUCAAACAGCUUCCUGCGCGUGGCUGGGGCAGAGAGACUCGUGAGCCCUUCAUGCUCCAGAGAGCCAGAGCAUCAGAUGGCUUCCCUCCAGGUUUGGGGGCAGCCAGGGCAGCACCAGGCCCCUUGGGUGGGGACUGGGAAGAGGAAAGUGACAGGAAUUGCAGACACCAGUGCCACCUAGGGAGCAAGUGCGCCAUCCCAGGUCGGCCUCCAGGGGCAGCACAGGCCACCACUAGUCAAGUACACGGCAGCCUGCCUCCAGACCAUGAUCCGGGUAUUCCUUCCCUAGAGACGGACAACCGCGGCUCUUGGCUUUCUUUCCCGCUGCUGCUGCCACGGCCUUCCCGCCCCUUCCCAGCCACCUCCACAGUUGGUCCUAGGAUUUCCAUGAGUCAUCGGAAAUUUUUCCCUGAAAUAAAACCUUGAACGGAUCCAGCCUCAUUCCCACUGGUUAUGGGUCUAUGAGACUGGAAAGGAGAGGAUGGCAAAAAAAAAAAAAAAAAA